UACGUAGGCAGCGAGCGUUGUUCGGAAUUACUGGGCGUAAAGAGUGUGUAGGCGGUGCUCUAAGUUCGGUGUGAAAUCUCCCGGCUUAACUGGGAGGGUGCGCCGGAAACUGGAGUGCUCGAGCGUGGGAGAGGAAAGCGGAAUUCCUGGUGUAGCGGUGAAAUGCGCAGAUAUCAGGAGGAACACCGAUGGCGAAGGCAGGUCUCUGGGCAUUAACUGACGCUGAGGAGCGAAAGCAUGGGGAGCGAACAGG
This 253-nucleotide ribosomal RNA is filed under the name uncultured bacterium. RNAcentral's name for it is "partial 16S ribosomal RNA". It matches the Rfam family "Bacterial small subunit ribosomal RNA", at positions 524 to 776 of the family's 1533-position model. The record is from RNAcentral.